AGGCUGGACACGGAGCUAGAGUCGGACUGAGACGAGCUCUCCUCGUCCGUGCUGAUGUCCGAACUCUCAGACGGACUGUCCUCCAGCUCUUCAUCAGAAGUCCCGGAGUUGCUACUACUGGACAAACUCGACCCGAAAUCCGAGUCGUUGUUGACCCUCUCCGAAUAGGAACUUGAUUCCGUGUCGCUGCUGCAGCUCUCCUGGAAACCAUGAUGUUGAUGGUGAGACCCGUGGUUCAGCCCCCUGCUCACCAGCCUCCCUGUAUGUCUGGCCCUCUCCUGCAAGGACAGACACCAGCCUGGGCCCCAUCCCCACCAGCCUGGGCCCCAUCCCCACCAGCGUCUGCUGGUUGUCCACCAGGCAGGCAGCAGACCUGCACCUCACUGACCCAGGGCUCACUAACUUUUGCAUGUUCGCAAGUCCAGUAAAAGCAUGCAACUUUAGGCAUCCUAUUCCUAAGCCUAUUUGUCAAUAUAUACAGGAGGCAACAAUCCCUCUAACACACUUCAUGAAAAAGGACUAAAAGGCAUCCCUGUGAAGGACAGCAACUUUGACCUGUUCUGUCCUGAGCUAAUAGGCCGUCUGGUCUGAGUGAGUCGACUACAGGGACCAUGAAAAGCAGCCAACAUGUCUUCUCCUGGUAGGACGGAGAACAGGAAGGGAGAGGAGAGAAGAGAGGAGAGAAGAGAGGAGGAGAGGGCAGCCCCCCCUCCAGCCUGGGGCAUGCUAGGGGAUCAGCCUGGGUCUCUCCCUGCCCGGCUGCAGCUUCCUGGCCUUGUCAGAGAGGGUCUGAGGGAGCCCCUUUAGGUCCGGAGCCUGUGGUCUGACCUGUCACGCCGCCUGGCGUUCCAGUAACCAAGGCAGGUGGGUUGUAGCUUCGACCAUCAGUCUACUCACACUCACCAGGAUAAUGGGUUUGGAAGUGUGCUCUGCAUGUUUCCUGUGUGUGUGCCCAGUCUAGAAAUGUAUAAAUAAAGAGGAAUGGGCCCAAAGCACACGCUCACUGUACAACAUUAGCUAUAUACCACAAUCCCCUUGCCCAAUAGAUGAAUCUAUAAUCAACCCUGCAAUGUGAUGAUUUUCAGGCAAUGCCAUUAUGUCAAUAUAUGACCACACUUGGUGAUUUAUAUGUUUGUUUGAUCAAGUUUUGUAGUCAACCCUGAAAUUGAAGAUGAUUUUAAGAUG
Hypomesus transpacificus is the source of this 1185-nucleotide long non-coding RNA. RefSeq lists it as uncharacterized. The record is from RefSeq and is a predicted model, not a curated record. NCBI's taxonomy places the organism in Eukaryota, Metazoa, Chordata, Actinopteri, Osmeriformes, Osmeridae. The transcript is spliced from 2 exons.